This 925-nucleotide ribosomal RNA is filed under the name Glutinoglossum glutinosum. RNAcentral's name for it is "eukaryotic LSU rRNA". It matches the Rfam family "Eukaryotic large subunit ribosomal RNA", at positions 41 to 977 of the family's 3401-position model. The record is from RNAcentral. Lineage: Eukaryota; Fungi; Ascomycota; Geoglossomycetes; Geoglossales; Geoglossaceae.
UAUCAAUAAGCGGAGGAAAAGAAACCAACAGGGAUUGCCUCAGUAACGGCGAGUGAAGCGGCAACAGCUCAAAUUUGAAAUCUGGUUCCUUCCAGGGGCCCGAGUUGUAAUUUGUAGAGGAUGUCUUCGGGUCUGGCCCCGGCCUAAGUUCCUUGGAACAGGACGUCACAGAGGGUGAGAAUCCCGUAUGUGGCUGGAGGUCUAUUCCCAUGUGAAGCUCCUUCGACGAGUCGAGUUGUUUGGGAAUGCAGCUCAAAAUGGGUGGUAAGUUUCAUCUAAAGCUAAAUACUGGCGGGAGACCGAUAGCGCACAAGUAGAGUGAUCGAAAGAUGAAAAGCACUUUGGAAAGAGAGUUAAAAAGUACGUGAAAUUGUUGAAAGGGAAGCGCUUGCGACCAGACUUGCCCUCAGUUGAUCAACCGGGGAUAAACUCCGGUGCACUCUGCUGAGGUCAGGCCAGCAUCGGUUUAGGCGGUUGGAGAAAGGCCUUGGGAAUGUGGCUCCUUCCGGGGAGUGUUAUAGCCCAUGGUGCCAUGCGACCAGCCUGGACCGAGGACCGCGCCUUAGUGCUAGGAUGCUGGCGUAAUGGUCGUAAGCGACCCGUCUUGAAACACGGACCAAGGAGUCUAACAUCUAUGCGAGUGUUUGGGUGUAAAACCCACACGCGUAAUGAAAGUGAACGGAGGUGGGAACCCUUGAGGGUGCACCAUCGACCGAUCCUGAUGUCUUCGGAUGGAUUUGAGUAAGAGCAUAGCUGUUGGGACCCGAAAGAUGGUGAACUAUGCCUGAAUAGGGUGAAGCCAGAGGAAACUCUGGUGGAGGCUCGCAGCGGUUCUGACGUGCAAAUCGAUCGUCAAAUUUGGGUAUAGGGGCGAAAGACUAAUCGAACCAUCUAGUAGCUGGUUCCUGCCGAAGUUUCCCUCAGG